RNAcentral lists this ribosomal RNA (253 nucleotides) under uncultured bacterium. RNAcentral's name for it is "partial 16S ribosomal RNA". It matches the Rfam family "Bacterial small subunit ribosomal RNA", at positions 524 to 776 of the family's 1533-position model. The record is from RNAcentral.
UACGUAGGUGGCGAGCGUUGUCCGGAAUUACUGGGUGUAAAGCGCGUGUAGGCGGGAGGCCAAGUCUGCGGUGAAAUCGCUCGGCUCAACUGGGCGGGGUCCGUGGAAACUGGUCACCUGGAGGACGGUAGAGGCGAGUGGAAUUCCCGGUGUAGUGGUGAAAUGCGUAGAGAUCGGGAGGAACACCAGUGGCGAAGGCGGCUCGCUGGGCCGGACCUGACGCUGAGGAACGAAAGCGUGGGGAGCGAACAGG